RNAcentral lists this ribosomal RNA (443 nucleotides) under uncultured bacterium. Its description in RNAcentral is "partial 16S ribosomal RNA". It matches the Rfam family "Bacterial small subunit ribosomal RNA", at positions 338 to 795 of the family's 1533-position model. The record is from RNAcentral.
CCUACGGGCUGCAGCAGUGGUGAAUAUUGGGCAAUGGGCGCAAGCCUGACCCAGCAACGCCGCGUGAAGGAAGACGGCUUUCGGGUUGUAAACUUCUUUUGUCAGGGACGAAGCAAGUGACGGUACCUGACGAAUAAGCCACGGCUAACUAAGUGCCAGCAGCCGCGGUAAUCCGUAGGUUGCAAGCGUGAUCCGGAUUUACUGGGUGUAAAGGGCGUGUAGGCGGGACUGCAAGUCAGAUGUGAAAACGACGGGCUCAACCUGUUGCCUGCAGUUGAAACUGUAGUUCUUGAGUACAGGAGAGGAAGACGGAAUUCCUAGUGUAGCGGUGAAAUGCGUAGAGAUUAGGAGGAACACCAGUGGCGAAGGCGGUCUGCUGGACAGCAACUGACGCUGAGGCGCGAAAGCGUGGGGAGCAAACAGGAUUAGAUACCCUGGUAGUC